Molecule: RNA transcript, 1158 nt
Organism: Aplysia californica (California sea hare)
Lineage: Eukaryota; Metazoa; Mollusca; Gastropoda; Aplysiida; Aplysiidae
Exons: 3
Source: RefSeq, a predicted model, not a curated record
GGAAAAAUCGGGGAUUAAGGAUUGCCUCGUUGGAGCCGACUUCUCAUUGAAUGUGACCUCGUUGAAUGUGACACCCACUGUACUACUUGGGUCAAUGGUAUGAUGGUUAGGGUUUCCUCCAUUGCACACAAAAGACGUGAGUUUGAUUCCCAUGGGAGGAAGUCUAUUUGAUUAUGUAUCUCCACCUUUCUGUUCGGGUGCUGUAUCCCACUUAGCCUGGGUAGGUUCUGAUGCUCAGACUGCCUCCCUUAAUUAUGUGAAUGGCAAAUGCAAUAAUACAUAAAAAGUAAGUUCUGAGGACUUGUUUUGGGUAUAUUAUUAUAUUUUGUGUGUGUUUUUUCCAGUAGCCCUAUUGAUCCAUUACCAGAAUCGUCAACGUGCUGCAAUACACUGCACCUGCCAAUGUAUACUAAUGAAAAAAUUGCAGAGGAAAGACUGCGGUAUGCUGCAUACAACUGUGUGUCUAUUGACACUGAUGAAUGAAGACAUGGUGAUGUGAAUUAGAUCAGCUUGCCUGGAUGACUGUUUUGAGCUGAACAUGUCCAUUUUGUCAUUUUGUAAUGUUGCCACUUGCCUUUUUUUUACCCUUCGGCUUAAUGUUUAGCACUGAAGGUGUUCAUCGCUUGUGUUGCAUUGUCAGUUAGAGAUUGUCGAUGAUAUUGGAAGAGUAGCUCCCUCUUGAGUCCUGUUCACAACCUUUCUAUGAAAUAUGACUUUUUUUGUGAAGGAUGCUCACUUUUUAUUUGAUUACUCACUGUUUUUAUUUGAUAAAUGUGAAUUUAUUUGGUCCUUACUGACCUAAAUAAAUCCAAACUGGAAUUUGUCAAUUUACGUUUGGUACCUCUACUCAUCAAUGGAUUGAAUACCGGUACCCCUUUCACCUUAUUUUGUACCAUCUACUUUGCAUCACAAACUGUUAUCUUCAGUUCCUGACACAAGUAUAUAAAUGUGAUAAUGCCUUACUCCUAGUGUUAAAUCAGCGGAGCACCGCGGAACAGCGACUCUAUUUUUAAAAACAGGAAAAAAAUUUGUCCAGGGAACAGCGACUGCCCUAAGCGAAUAGCUUGUCAUGGUGGUAUUGAUCGAUAUAUCGAUACACCAGCGGCACGCCAAAAAGAUUUUUCCACAUUUAAAAACUAUGUCUAAUCGUAAAAAUAA